Molecule: ribosomal RNA, 540 nt
Filed under: uncultured bacterium
Lineage: Bacteria
Description: bacterial SSU rRNA
Rfam family: Bacterial small subunit ribosomal RNA
Source: RNAcentral
GGAUGAAUAAGGGGUAAUGCCCUUAGCCCUUCGGGGCAUCCGAGACAGGUGGUGCAUGGUUGUCGUCAGCUCGUGUCGUGAGAUGUUGGGUUAAGUCCCGCAACGAGCGCAACCCCUAUCUUCAGUAGCCAGCAUUCAGGAUGGGAACUCAGGAGAGACUGCCCGGGACAACCGGGAGGAAGGCGGGGAUGACGUCAAAUCAUCAUGCCCCUUAUGGGCAGGGCUACACACGUGCUACAAUGGCGAAAACAGAGGGAAGCGAGCCGGUGACGGUAAGCAAACCCCAAAAACAUCGUCCCAGUUCGGACUGUAGUCUGCAACCCGACUACACGAAGCCGGAAUCGCUAGUAAUCGCGGAUCAGAAUGCCGCGGUGAAUACGUUCCCGGGUCUUGUACACACCGCCCGUCACACCAUGGGAGUCGGAAAUGCCCGAAGUCAGUGACCUAACCUUUAAGGGAGGAGCUGCCGAAGGUGGAGCCGGUAACUGGGGUGAAGUCGUAACAAGGUAGCCGUAUCGGAAGGUGCGGUUGGAUCACCUC